This 119-nucleotide ribosomal RNA is filed under the name uncultured bacterium. RNAcentral describes it as "partial 16S ribosomal RNA". It matches the Rfam family "Bacterial small subunit ribosomal RNA", at positions 1365 to 1482 of the family's 1533-position model. The record is from RNAcentral.
AAUACGUUCCCGGGCUUGUACACACCGCCCGUCACGUCACGAAAGUCGGUAACACCCGAAGCCGGUGGCCUAACCCGUAAGGGGAGGAGCCGUCGAAGGUGGGACCAGCGAUUGGGACG